UACGUAGGAUCCGAGCGUUAUCCGGAUUUAUUGGGUUUAAAGGGAGCGUAGGUGGAUUGUUAAGUCAGUUGUGAAAGUUUGCGGCUCAACCGUAAAAUUGCAGUUGAAACUGGCAGUCUUGAGUACAGUAGAGGUGGGCGGAAUUCGUGGUGUAGCGGUGAAAUGCUUAGAUAUCACGAAGAACUCCGAUUGCGAAGGCAGCUCACUGGACUGCAACUGACACUGAGGCACGAAAGUGUGGGGAGCAAACAGG
This 253-nucleotide ribosomal RNA is filed under the name uncultured bacterium. Its description in RNAcentral is "partial 16S ribosomal RNA". It matches the Rfam family "Bacterial small subunit ribosomal RNA", at positions 524 to 776 of the family's 1533-position model. The record is from RNAcentral.